Molecule: ribosomal RNA, 253 nt
Filed under: uncultured bacterium
Lineage: Bacteria
Description: partial 16S ribosomal RNA
Rfam family: Bacterial small subunit ribosomal RNA
Source: RNAcentral
UACGUAGGUGUCGAGCGUUGUCCGGAUUUAUUGGGCGUAAAGAGCCCGCAGGCGGCUUGGCAAGUUUGAGGUGAAAUCUCCCGGCUUAACUGGGAGGGGGCCUCGAAAACUGCCAGGCUUGAGGCAUGGAGAGGGAUGCGGAAUUCCCGGUGUAGUGGUGAAAUGCGUAGAGAUCCGGAGGAACACCAACGGCGAAGGCAGCGCCCUGGACGAGACCUGACGCUCAGGCACGAAAGCUGGGGGAGCAAACAGG